GAGUGUUUAAAGCAGGCUCACGCUUGAAUACAUUAGCAUGGAACAAUGAAAUAGGACAUCCGAUUCUAUUUUGUUGGUUUCUAGGAUCGAUGUAAUGAUUAAUGGGGAUAGUUGGGGGCAUUAGUAUUCAAUUGUCAGAGGUGAAAUUCUUGGAUUUAUUGAAGACUAACUACUGCGAAAGCAUUUGCCAAGGAUGUUUUCAUUAAUCAAGAACGGAAGUUAGGGGAUCGAAGACGAUCAGAUACCGUCGUAGUCUUAACCAUAAACUAUGCCGACUAGGGAUCGGAUGAUGUUAAUU
Molecule: ribosomal RNA, 298 nt
Filed under: uncultured Glomus
Lineage: Eukaryota; Fungi; Glomeromycota; Glomeromycetes; Glomerales; Glomeraceae
Description: partial small subunit ribosomal RNA
Rfam family: Eukaryotic small subunit ribosomal RNA
Source: RNAcentral